This 482-nucleotide ribosomal RNA is filed under the name uncultured bacterium. RNAcentral's name for it is "partial 16S ribosomal RNA". It matches the Rfam family "Bacterial small subunit ribosomal RNA", at positions 30 to 507 of the family's 1533-position model. The record is from RNAcentral.
AUUGAACGCUGGCGGCAUGCCUUACACAUGCAAGUCGAACGGUAACGGGCCUUCGGGUGCCGACGAGUGGCGCACGGGUGAGUAAUACAUCGGAACGUGCCCGAUCGUGGGGGAUAACGAGGCGAAAGCUUUGCUAAUACCGCAUACGAUCUACGGAUGAAAGCAGGGGACCGCAAGGCCUUGCGCGGACGGAGCGGCCGAUGGCAGAUUAGGUAGUUGGUGGGAUAAAAGCUUACCAAGCCGACGAUCUGUAGCUGGUCUGAGAGGAUGAUCAGCCACACUGGGACUGAGACACGGCCCAGACUCCUACGGGAGGCAGCAGUGGGGAAUUUUGGACAAAGGGCGCAAGCCUGAUCCAGCCAUGCCGCGUGCAGGAUGAAGGCCUUCGGGUUGUAAACUGCUUUUGUACGGAACGAAAAGCCUUCUUUUAAUACAGGAGGGUCAUGACGGUACCGGAAGAAUAAGCACCGGCUAACUACGUG